CUAUAACAUAAAACAUAACUUAUAACAGAUACCAAGUUCGUGUUUCAAUAUGCGCUGGAACAAGCAUUUCGCUUUCAAAAUAGAACCAUCAUAACAGCAGCUAUACAAUAAUCAUUUCUAAAGAAUAGAAUGCAUUGAAAUUAACUUUAUGAGAUAAGUUACUACCACCUAUCGUUUUAAUUACAGCUAUAUAUUUCAUAGAAUUAAUCCUUUAAUUUGUAUGCUAUAAGCAACUGAAUUACACAAUACCAUGACACUCAUUUCUCAUCAAAAAAGUCCCCUGACUAAGGUCACCUAACUUCACAUCAGUACUUCAAUAUAUAUAUAAUCUAUCCAUCUUAUCUAAUGGAAAAUAAAAAAACAAAAAUGAGCAAUAUAUUUUAAAAUGUAGUCAUUUAAAAUUAUAAUCUGUAUUUCUUGUCAAAAGAAUAAAAAAAACAUACACAAUAUACAUGUUUUCCUACCUACUUAUGCAAAUUGGAGCACUAUAACGAACAGUUGAUCAAUUAUCUAAAAUUAAAAUAAAAUUAGGUUUUACUAAACUAAUAUCUGGUAGAUACUUUUUCUUCCAACUAGUUUAACUUGCUACACUUAUAUUAAUAUAAAACUACCUAAGUGAUAGGUCUAAAACAUAGCAAAAUAGCUAUGUCAAAAAGGUAGUUGUAUUCAAAUCUUAUAUUUAUUGUUUAACAUUAUCAUUUUUUUUUUUUCAUAUAU
Non-coding RNA from Cinara cedri, 717 nucleotides. NCBI's taxonomy places the organism in Eukaryota, Metazoa, Arthropoda, Insecta, Hemiptera, Aphididae. The record is from the annotation of a GenBank genome assembly.